CCUACGGGGUGCAGCAGUGGGGAAUAUUGGACAAUGGGCAAAAGCCUGAUCCAGCCAUGCCGCGUGUGUGAAGAAGGCCUUCGGGUUGUAAAGCACUUUCAGUGGGGAAGAAAGCCUUGGGGCUAAUACCCUCGAGGAAGGACAUCACCCACAGAAGAAGCACCGGCUAACUCCGUGCCAGCAGCCGCGGUAAUACGGAGGGUGCGAGCGUUAAUCGGAAUUACUGGGCGUAAAGCGCGCGUAGGCGGUCUGAUAAGCCGGUUGUGAAAGCCCCGGGCUCAACCUGGGAACGGCAUCCGGAACUGUCAGGCUAGAGUGCAGGAGAGGAAGGUAGAAUUCCCGGUGUAGCGGUGAAAUGCGUAGAGAUCGGGAGGAAUACCAGUGGCGAAGGCGGCCUUCUGGACUGACACUGACGCUGAGGUGCGAAAGCGUGGGUAGCAAACAGGAUUAGAUACCCGGUAGUC
Molecule: ribosomal RNA, 464 nt
Filed under: Vreelandella stevensii
Lineage: Bacteria; Pseudomonadati; Pseudomonadota; Gammaproteobacteria; Oceanospirillales; Halomonadaceae
Description: partial 16S ribosomal RNA
Rfam family: Bacterial small subunit ribosomal RNA
Source: RNAcentral